GAUCCUGACUCAGGAUGAACGCUAGCUACAGGCUUAACACAUGCAAGUCGAGGGGAAACGACAUCGAAAGCUUGCUUUUGAUGGGCGUCGACCGGCGCNCGGGUGAGUAACGCGUAUCCAACCUGCCCAUCACUUGGGAAUAACCUUGCGAAAGUAAGACUAAUGCCCAAUGAUAUCCCACGAAGGCAUCCGAAUGGGAUUAAAGAUUUAUCGGUGAUGGAUGGGGAUGCGUCUGAUUAG
Molecule: ribosomal RNA, 240 nt
Filed under: uncultured bacterium
Lineage: Bacteria
Description: partial 16S ribosomal RNA
Rfam family: Bacterial small subunit ribosomal RNA
Source: RNAcentral